ACAGUUACUGUUUCUAUCGCUUCUAUUUAUAGAAGAGGAAAGUCCGGACAAGAUAGAGAACCAUAGCGGAUAACAUCCGUCCACAAUUGUGAGGACAAGUGCAACAGAAAGUAUGUACAGUUCGGCUGUAGUGAAAUCAUGUAAACUCUAUGGCUUGAAAUGCCAUGUAUACUGAGGACUGAAGCUUUCUCGGCUGACUCAGGGGGUAGGCAGUUUGAAAUAAAAAGUAAUUUUUAUUCUAGAUAAAUGAUAGAACCCAUUAGGGAACAGAAUCCGGCUUACUAGUAACUAUAUAA
This 296-nucleotide RNase P RNA is filed under the name Flavobacteriales bacterium. Its description in RNAcentral is "RNase P RNA component class A". It matches the Rfam family "Bacterial RNase P class A". From Rfam's summary of the family: Ribonuclease P (RNase P) is a ubiquitous endoribonuclease, found in archaea, bacteria and eukarya as well as chloroplasts and mitochondria. Its best characterised activity is the generation of mature 5'-ends of tRNAs by cleaving the 5'-leader elements of precursor-tRNAs. Cellular RNase Ps are ribonucleoproteins. Lineage: Bacteria; Pseudomonadati; Bacteroidota; Flavobacteriia; Flavobacteriales. The record is from RNAcentral.